GCCUGCCGGCCGCUGUCUCUUUGCCGAACCACAUUUAGUGUCAUACUUGUCGUAUAUUCAAAUGAGCGUGAUGGCUUUACUCAAUGUUGAGCUACAUAGUGACAAGAUGAAAGCGGCGGUUCUGAGGGACGAAGGUAGAAUUCCCAACGUAAAUCACUAAGCGCAACCGAGAGUUGAUGUUUA
Molecule: long non-coding RNA, 183 nt
Organism: Hyposmocoma kahamanoa
Lineage: Eukaryota; Metazoa; Arthropoda; Insecta; Lepidoptera; Cosmopterigidae
Exons: 3
Source: RefSeq, a predicted model, not a curated record